This 87-nucleotide non-coding RNA is filed under the name Thermobaculum terrenum. RNAcentral's name for it is "c-di-GMP-II sequence". It matches the Rfam family "Cyclic di-GMP-II riboswitch aptamer". The record is from RNAcentral. Lineage: Bacteria; Bacillati; Chloroflexota; Chloroflexia; Thermobaculales (SeqCode); Thermobaculaceae (SeqCode). RNAcentral also lists the same sequence under 1 other name.
AAUUAGCGUAGAGGCGACGAAGUCCGCUUACCUAUAUGGGCACCAUGGGAGCGGAUGGAGCCACUGGUGCAACCGGCUACUGAGAAG